RNAcentral lists this ribosomal RNA (402 nucleotides) under uncultured bacterium. RNAcentral's name for it is "bacterial SSU rRNA". It matches the Rfam family "Bacterial small subunit ribosomal RNA", at positions 355 to 774 of the family's 1533-position model. The record is from RNAcentral.
UGGGGAAUAUUGGACAAUGGGCGCAAGCCUGAUCCAGCAAUGCCGCGUGGAUGAAGAAGGUCUUCGGAUUGUAAAGUCCUUUCGGCGGGGACGAUGAUGACGGUACCCGCAGAAGAAGCCCCGGCUAACUUCGUGCCAGCAGCCGCGGUAAUACGAAGGGGGCUAGCGUUACUCGGAAUGACUGGGCGUAAAGGGCGCGUAGGCGGUUUGGACAGUUAGGCGUGAAAUUCCUGGGCUCAACCUGGGGGCUGCGCUUAAUACAUCCAGACUUGAGUGUGGAAGAGGGUCGUGGAAUUCCCAGUGUAGAGGUGACAUUCGUAGAUAUUGGGAAGAACACCGGUGGCGAAGGCGGCGACCUGGUCCAUUACUGACGCUGAGGCGCGAAAGCGUGGGGAGCAAACA